CGAGGACAGCAACGGCCAAUCAGAGCGUGACGAGGGAGAGAGCGCCACUCACCACCAGGAAGUACGGCACUGAGCAGAGGAUAAUGGGUCAGUAGUGUUUGUCUCGUCCUACUUUAUUUAGACUGGCUAACACCGUUAACCUUUGACACCCCUACUCCCUGUAGAAGAGAUGAUGAGUUGCAGGUGCACUGUCUCUAGGGGAGGUGAGGCUGAAGGAACUGCCUGGCUUGAUCGCUAACCGAGCUCCCGUCAACCCCAUACAGGGAAUACUGGCCCUGCACAGAGGAUAGCAGUGGUACUACGGGAGGUACUCUAUAUAGACGUGAGGACAGGUGGGAGCCCCUAGUGGUGGAGACAAGAUGUGCAGAGCUGUAGUCUCGUGUUACCUGUAAAUAAAGGCUAGAAGAGCUGAAGCUAUGGCGAGUUCUCAACAUAGAAUCGUCUGUGAGAGGUGGGAGAAUGUGAAAGAGGCAACACUAAGGUGCUGAGCGAAAAAGUCUCAUUUCAGUUUCAUGUCUUCUAGUCUAGACGUUAUAUAUACACUAUAUAUACAAAGGUAUGUGGACACCACUUCAAAUUCGUGGAUCCGGCUAUUUCAGCCACACCCGUUGCUGGCAGGUGUAUAAAAUUGAGCACACAGCCAUGCAAUCUCCAUAGACAAACAUUGGUAGUAGAAUGGCCUUACUGAAGAGCUCAGUGACUGUCAACGUGGCACCAUCAUAGGAUGCUCCCAGUUUGUCAGUUUGUCAAAUUUCUGCUCUGUAAGUGCUGUUACUGUGAAGUGGAAACGUCUAGGAGCAACAACGGCUCUGCCGCAAAGUGGUAGGCCACACAAGCUCACAGAACAGGACCGCCGAGUGCUGAAGUGCGUAGCGCGUAAAACAUGUCUGCCGGGACAGGGGCUGAGAUUAAAAAUAAAAGAAUAUAGGACAAAACACACAUCACGACAAGAGAGACAACACAACACUACAUAAAGAGGGACCUAAGACAACAACAUAGCACGGCAGCAACACAUAACAUCACAGCAUGGUAGCAACACAACAUGGCAGCAGCACAAAACAUGGUACAAACAUUAUUGGGCGCAGACAACAGCACAAAGAACAAUAAAGUAGAGACAGCAAUACAUCACGCAAAGCAGCCACAACUGUCAGUAAGAGUCUUUGAAUGAAGAGAUUGAGAUAAAACUGUCCAGUUUGAGUGUUUGUUGCAGCUCGUUCCAGUCGCUAGCUGCAGCCAACUGAAAAGACAAGCGACCCAGGGAUGUGUGUGCUUUAGGGACCUUUAACAGAAUGUGACUGGCAGAAUGGGUGUUGUAUGUGGAGGAUGAGGGCUGCAGUAGAUAUCUCAGAUAAAGGGGAGUGCGGCCUAAGAGGGUUUUAUAAAUAAGCAUCAACCAGUGGGUCUUGCAACAGGUAUACAGAGAUGACCAGUUUACAGAGGAGUAUAGAGUGCAGUGAUGUGUCCUAUAAAGAGCAUUGGUGGAGCACCCUUACCUGCCGAUCUAUAAAUUACAUCUCCGUAAUCUAGCAUGGGUAGGAUGGUUAUCUGAAUCAGGGUUAGUUUGGCAGCUAGGGUGAAAGAGGAGCGAUUACGAUAGAGGAAACCAGGCCUAGACUUAACCUUAGCCUGCAGGUUUGAUAUGUACUGAGAGGACAGUGCACCGUCUAGCCAUACUCCCAAGUACUUCUAUGAGGUGACUACCUCAAUGUGCUACCAUAGUGCAAAUGUUAAAGUUUGGUGGAGGGGGAAUAAUGGUCUGGGGCUGUUUUUUAUGGUUCGGUCUAAGCCUCUUAGUUCCAGUGAAGGGAAAGCUUAACGCUACAGCAUACUAUUCUAUAUAGACCAUUCUAGAUGAUUCUGUGCUUACAACUUUGUGGCAACAGUUUGGGGAAGGCCCUUUCCUGGUGCAGCAUGACAAUGCCCGUGUACAAAGCAAGGUCCAUACAGAAAGGGUUUCUCGAGAUCGGUGUGGAAGAACUUGACUGGCCUGCACAGAGCCCUGACCUCAACCCCAUCGAACACCUUUGGGAUGAAUUGGAACGACGACUGCGAGCCAGGCCUAAUCGCUCAACAUCAGUGUUCAACCUCACUAAUGCUGCUGUGGCUGAAUGGACGCUAGUCCCCGCAGCAAUGUUCCAACGUCUAGUGGAAAGCCUUCCCAGAAGAGUGGAGGCUGUUGUAGCAGCAAAGGGGGGACCAACUUCAUAAUAACGCCCCUGAUUUUGGAAUGAGAUAUUCGACUAGCAGGUGUCCACAUUCUUUUGGUCACGUAGUGUAUCAGUAUAUAUCUGAAGUAUUUAUGUGUUUUUUUCUUUUUCUUUCUGUUGUGAUGAAAGGGAAGGAUACUUCAACAGCACUUGUAUUACUAGGACUAGUUAAGAUUACUUGUUGUGUGAACAGCAACGAAGUGAAACCAGAACCUGUGAAGGGCUCCCAAGCCUGUCCACCUGCCCUCUGUCAUUCUUGGACUGUCUUGUAUAUGGCUCAUGAUUUCGCUAUACCAUCAACAUGCUACGUUGUAAGUCUGUGGUGCCUUGAAUGAAUUGAAUGUGAAAUAAUGACCAGCAGUAUGAGUUUAAACUGGACCCCACAACAAAGUGAAUGUCUAAACUACCACCAAUAAUACAUUUGUUGGAGAAUGUAUUAAAUCAAUCAGGCUGAGCCAGUUUAUGAUUGUAUUCAAAAUGAAUUUAUUAUUGACCUAUUUUUGCUGUUGUAGUAAACACACAAACUAGAAAUGAACAACUGACAGUAUUUUGUAACAAUUUCUCUUGGAACACUUCAAAGCCAACAGAAUAAAAAAGAACUUAAUUUU
Molecule: long non-coding RNA, 2815 nt
Organism: Salvelinus fontinalis (brook trout)
Lineage: Eukaryota; Metazoa; Chordata; Actinopteri; Salmoniformes; Salmonidae
Exons: 2
Source: RefSeq, a predicted model, not a curated record